UACGGAGGGUGCAAGCGUUAUCCGGAUUCACUGGGUUUAAAGGGUGUGUAGGCGGGUAUUUAAGUCAGUGGUGAAAUCUCUGGGCUCAACUCAGAAACUGCCAUUGAUACUAUUUAUCUUGAAUAUCGUUGAGGUUGGCGGAAUAUAUCAUGUAGCGGUGAAAUGCAUAGAUAUGAUAUAGAACACCGAUUGCGAAGGCAGCUAACUAAACGAUUAUUUGACGCUGAGGCACGAAAGCGUGGGGAUCAAACAGGA
RNAcentral lists this ribosomal RNA (255 nucleotides) under uncultured bacterium. RNAcentral's name for it is "partial 16S ribosomal RNA". It matches the Rfam family "Bacterial small subunit ribosomal RNA", at positions 524 to 777 of the family's 1533-position model. The record is from RNAcentral.